AAGUCGAGCGAGAAAGUAUCUUCGGAUAUGAGUAGAGCGGCGGACGGGUGAGUAACGCGUAGGAAUCUACCUAGUAGAAGGGGAUAGCCCGGGGAAACUCGGAUUAAUACCGUAUACCUCCUUAGGGAGAAAGAGGGCCUCUCUUGAAGCUCUCGCUAUUAGAUGAGCCUGCGUAAGAUUAGCUUGUUGGUAAGGUAAUGGCUUACCAAGGCUACGAUCUUUAGCUGGUCUGAGAGGACGAUCAGCCACAUUGGGACUGAGACACGGCCCAGACUCCUACGGGAGGCAGCAGUGGGGAAUAUUGGACAAUGGGCGCAAGCCUGAUCCAGCCAUACCGCGUGUGUGAAGAAGGCCUUCGGGUUGUAAAGCACUUUAAGCAGGGAGAAAAAGCAAUAAGUUAAUACCUUAUUGCCGUGAUGUUACCUGCAGAAUAAGCACCGGCUAAUUCCGUGCCAGCAGCCGCGGUAAUACGGAAGGUGCAAGCGUUAAUCGGAAUUACUGGGCGUAAAGCGCGCGUAGGUGGUUUGUUAAGUUGGAUGUGAGAGCCCUGGGCUCAACCUAGGAACUGCAUCCAAAACUAAUUCACUAGAGUACGAUAGAGGGAGGUAGAAUUCAUAGUGUAGCGGUGGAAUGCGUAGAUAUUAUGAAGAAUACCAGUGGCGAAGGCGGCCUCCUGGAUCUGUACUGACACUAAGGUGCGAAAGCGUGGGUAGCGAACAGGAUUAGAUACCCUGGUAGUCCACGCCGUAAACGGUGACAACUAGCUGUUGGGAGACAAUGUCUUUCAGUGGCGCAGCUAACGUUUUAAGUUGUCCGCCUGGGGAGUACGGCCGCAAGGCUAAAACUCAAAUGAAUUGACGGGGACCCGCACAAGCGGUGGAGCAUGUGGUUUAAUUCGAUGCAACGCGAAAAACCUUACCUACUCUUGACAUACUUGG
RNAcentral lists this ribosomal RNA (938 nucleotides) under uncultured marine bacterium. RNAcentral's name for it is "bacterial SSU rRNA". It matches the Rfam family "Bacterial small subunit ribosomal RNA", at positions 59 to 993 of the family's 1533-position model. The record is from RNAcentral.